This is a long non-coding RNA of Sapajus apella (tufted capuchin), 219 nucleotides long. RefSeq lists it as uncharacterized. NCBI's taxonomy places the organism in Eukaryota, Metazoa, Chordata, Mammalia, Primates, Cebidae. The record is from RefSeq and is a predicted model, not a curated record. The transcript has 2 exons.
GGUCUCUGAGAUUCUUACUGUUCUGUUCUUCUCAGUCUCUGUUAUGGACCUCUCUUUCUCUGCAUACAGGGCAAACUUGAUUUGCUGUAAGACUGCAACUGUUAAUCCCAUUCUUACUUCCCAAUUGCAAGACAAAAGCAGCAUACACACUGUGCCUGAUGUGAAGUCAAUUUCAUUCCGACCCUUUAGGAUUUAAAAACAAAAACUGUUUUGCCAGCA